AUAUUUAUAUGAGAGUUUGAUCCUGGCUCAGGAUGAACGCUGGCGGCGUGCCUAAUACAUGCAAGUCGAACGAGUUUUGGUCGAUGAACGGUGCUUGCACUGUGAUUCAACUUAAAACGAGUGGCGGACGGGUGAGUAACACGUGGGUAACCUGCCCUUGAGUGGGGGAUAACAUUUGGAAACAGAUGCUAAUACCGCAUAAAUCCAAGAACCGCAUGGUUCUUGGCUGAAAG
Molecule: ribosomal RNA, 233 nt
Filed under: Lactobacillus sp. chh01
Lineage: Bacteria; Bacillati; Bacillota; Bacilli; Lactobacillales; Lactobacillaceae
Description: partial 16S ribosomal RNA
Rfam family: Bacterial small subunit ribosomal RNA
Source: RNAcentral